AUUGCUGGAGUGUGAUUUCAGAAGAGAAGCAUGGUCUACUUAUUGAUGCCAUCAGAUAUAAAAUUAAAAGAAAGAAAGGUUCUACAAGUGAACCGAACAGAAGAUGUAUAUGUUGAGGCAGCUAUGGAACUCUUAUUUCUUAACUCAAGCAAAAGACCUGUGAGCCAUCCCCUGAUGGAAACCAGCAAGACCACCCCGCAAGCAAUCAUGACUACUCUGAGGAAGAGCUCUGGAGGCCCUGAUCACCCGGGGCAGUUUGUGCUCAACCCCCAACUCACACCUGCUCUGCAGGUCCCUGGAGUGACUCAUGGAGUGCCCAGCACUUACCUUUAUCUCAUUAUAAUCCUAAAAUCUCUACCCAGGAGGAGCACAAGCCUCAUUUACAUAAUAUACAAUUCAGGUACAGGCAUGUUUCCUUAAGAUGCUUGCACCACUGAUGUCUGCCUCUGUAUGUGAUGACCAGGCUUCCUGUUCUAAAUAUCCAUCCUACUCCUAAAUAAAAGGAACCCAUUCACAGGGAAUCUUGGCUUUUGAAGUUAUUCCUUGUGAUCUCCUUACCUGCUACAGAUAACCUUUGCUUUGUGUGACAGUCCCACCUACCAUAGUUUCUGUGACUCACUAAGGAGCAAACUCAAGUUCAUUCAGUGACACCAGCAACGUAGAGAAUCAUCCCCUCUCCCGGGCCUGGCCUGCUCCUUGCAAACCUCCUCUCCCCCCAGAGUUAUAAAUCUUUUAAAUUGUUUUAAAUGUAAAUAUUUUAAGCUGUUUUAAAUUGGUUUAAGUACUUAAAGUAAUUAUUAUUUAAUUUUAACUGUGUAUUUCUGAAACACACCUAAGGUGUGUUUUUGUAUAUUGUGUGAUAUAGGAGUUCAGUUGUCUUUUCAUUCAGGCAACGGUACCAACGCUUUAUUAAAUCUUAUUCCCUCUAAAUUUAAACACCGAAUUUUAGUAUGGUCAAUUCCCAUAAACAAUAGAAUGCUUUGUUUCAUUUUGUCUUACCGAUUGACUUUAAAACAAGUUUGAUCCUUAUUCUUCGUUUUCAUAUUUUCAGCUUUCUCGGGCAUUUUCCCUCCUCCAUAAUGAAUUUUAAGAGCACUUUAUUUGUUUUAACAUUUUUU
This 1118-nucleotide long non-coding RNA is filed under the name Mustela putorius furo (domestic ferret). RNAcentral's name for it is "lncRNA (ENSMPUG00000026463.1)". The record is from RNAcentral. Lineage: Eukaryota; Metazoa; Chordata; Mammalia; Carnivora; Mustelidae.